GAUGAACGCUAGCUACAGGCUUAACACAUGCAAGUCGAGGGGAAACGACAUCGAAAGCUUGCUUUUGAUGGGCGUCGACCGGCGCACGGGUGAGUAACGCGUAUCCAACCUGCCCAUCACUUGGGAAUAACCUUGCGAAAGUAAGACUAAUACCCAAUGAUACCCCACGAAGGCAUCGGAAUGGGAUUAAAGAUUUAUCGGUGAUGGAUGGGGAUGCGUCUGAUUAGCUUGUUGGCGGGGUAACGGCCCACCAAGGCAACGAUCAGUAGGGGUUCUGAGAGGAAGGUCCCCCACAUUGGAACUGAGACACGGUCCAAACUCCUACGGGAGGCAGCAGUGAGGAAUAUUGGUCAAUGGGCGAGAGCCUGAACCAGCCAAGUAGCGUGCAGGAAGACGGCCCUAUGGGUUGUAAACUGCUUUUAUAAGGGAAUAAAGUGGGUCACGUGUGACUUUUUGCAUGUACCUUAUGAAUAAGGACCGGCUAAUUCCGUG
This 492-nucleotide ribosomal RNA is filed under the name uncultured bacterium. RNAcentral describes it as "partial 16S ribosomal RNA". It matches the Rfam family "Bacterial small subunit ribosomal RNA", at positions 28 to 507 of the family's 1533-position model. The record is from RNAcentral.